This 1259-nucleotide long non-coding RNA is filed under the name Citrus x clementina. RNAcentral describes it as "Citrus clementina (C. clementina) long non-coding RNA (CCLE_LNC006010)". Lineage: Eukaryota; Viridiplantae; Streptophyta; Magnoliopsida; Sapindales; Rutaceae. The record is from RNAcentral.
AAACUAUCUCAUGAAUAACCUCUAUUUAUAAUUUAGUAUCCCUUUCUUAAUAAGGGUUAUAGGCCACCCAUAAUUCUCAAUGAAAGCCCAAUUUCCAUAAUUUAAUAUUAUGAAAAUUUGUGGCGUUACAAGAGGAGUCCUCAACCUACUUAAGAACUACCAUACGAAACUUAAUCUUGAGAAGUGUGUUUGGAGUGAGCUCAGACAAGUUUUUAGGGUUGACAAUAAGCCACACAGGGAUAGAGGCAAGUCCUAAAAAGACUAAUGCAAUUUUUUAUUUGCUAUGGUAUUGAUUACAUUGAUUCAUUCUAUAAAUAACCAACAGUACAAUAAAUAGUAAAUGAAGAAUCUUUGAUGCUCAAGAAGCAACUUGCUUCUAGUAUAGGUCACUUACUGUUCUUCCUUGUUUCUAAGAAAAAGUAGUAUGCUACUUGAAUCAAACCUUUCUUACAUAUAAUUAAUCCAUUACAUUUGGUUUCUUCGUCUAUUAUCUAUCUUUCAAGAAUAAAGACAUAGUGCUUAGUGUGAGUAUUGAUAUUUAUUUAAUUCAGCUGCAGCACGAGAAUUGCAGUUGCAUGAGAAUGAAUAUUAUCAAAAUGCAUAUAUAGAAAUUGUUGUUAAUUGCUAGCAAAGAGUUUGCUAAAUGGCUUUCAAACAAUUUUAUUUGAUUGGCUACCAAAGUUCAAGCCUAAGGAGACAUGAUUAAAAUAGUAAUUUGAGUUUUGUCCAUCUCUCUAUCUUUUAAGAGGAAAAAAAAGGUUGUUAAUUAAUGUAAUACAUAUGCGUGUAGCACUUGAGUUUGCUUUUGACCUCACUAUUAAGCACCAACCCUCGAUGAAGAUUCCAAGUUUGACAGGCUACUUCUAAUAAUGACAAUAUAUAUGUUGUUCUCCACUUAUUUGUUUUGGUGUUUCAUUGUGAAAAACAUUAUAGAUAAUUAAAUCCUUUUUCUUUCAUUAUAUUUCGGUUCUUAUAAGAACAUUUGUGAGAGUUUUAUCUCUCCUUUUUGUGGGAGUUUAUUGACAAACUUUAUUUAUACUGAUACUCAUCUUGAGUUGAUGAAUGCUACGUAAAAAUUUAUUUUUGUUAGCAAGAUUGGUUGAAAAGGACUUAUAUAUAGGGAAAAAAAUUCACCUUCAAAGUUUGCUUAAAUAGUUACAUAGAUCCUUUGCUUUUAUAAAUGGUCAUACAAGCUCUUUUUUAACAAUUAUACCCUUUGAUUAUAACAACCCAAAAAAUGACUUCAAAUAACAUUCUAU